This 497-nucleotide ribosomal RNA is filed under the name uncultured bacterium. RNAcentral describes it as "partial 16S ribosomal RNA". It matches the Rfam family "Bacterial small subunit ribosomal RNA", at positions 29 to 523 of the family's 1533-position model. The record is from RNAcentral.
AUUGAACGCUGGCGGUAGGCCUAACACAUGCAAGUCGAACGCGAAAGUCCUUCGGGAUGAGUAGAGUGGCGGACGGGUGAGUAACGCGUAGGAAUCUAUCCUGUAGUGGGGGAUUACGUUGCGAAAGGAACGCUAAUACCGCAUACGCCCCAAGGGGGAAAGCGGGGGAUCUUCCGACCUCGUGCUAUCGGAGGAGCCUGCGUCGGAUUAGCUAGUUGGUGAGGUAAAGGCUCACCAAGGCGACGAUCCGUAGCUGGUCUGAGAGGAUGAUCAGCCAAACCGGAACUGAGACACGGUCCGGACUCCUACGGGAGGCAGCAGUGGGGAAUAUUGCGCAAUGGGCGAAAGCCUGACGCAGCCAUACCGCGUGUGUGAAGAAGGCCUUCGGGUUGUAAAGCACUUUCAGUGGGGAGGAAAAGCUGGUGGCUAAUAUCCAUCGGCCGUGACGCUACCCACAGAAGAAGCACCGGCUAAUUCCGUGCCAGCAGCCGCGGUAA